This 208-nucleotide unclassified non-coding RNA is filed under the name uncultured Sebacina. RNAcentral describes it as "sequence contains ITS2". The record is from RNAcentral. Lineage: Eukaryota; Fungi; Basidiomycota; Agaricomycetes; Sebacinales; Sebacinaceae.
GUACUCUCACACUCUCUACUCCUUUGGGUUUGGGGAGCGGUGGACUUGGGUGCUUGCUGCUUUCCUUGUGGCUCACCUCAAAUGCGUCAGUGCAUCUCUUGAUUGGACAUAGUACGGCGUGAUAAGUGUCUUCGCCGGCACCUCGCGAGAGGGUGGCUGAUCGGGAGCUCUGUGCUUUCGAACCGUCCUUGGUGGACAAUGACUGACA